Molecule: small nuclear RNA, 151 nt
Filed under: Moschus moschiferus (Siberian musk deer)
Lineage: Eukaryota; Metazoa; Chordata; Mammalia; Artiodactyla; Moschidae
Description: U1 spliceosomal RNA (ENSMMSG00000001338.1)
Rfam family: U1 spliceosomal RNA
About the family: U1 is a small nuclear RNA (snRNA) component of the spliceosome (involved in pre-mRNA splicing). Its 5' end forms complementary base pairs with the 5' splice junction, thus defining the 5' donor site of an intron.
Source: Rfam by way of RNAcentral
AUAUUUACCUGACAGGGGAGAUACAAGGAUCACGAACGUAGUUUUUCCAAAGUGAGGCUCAUCCAUUGCACUCCAGAUGUGCUGACCCUGUAAUUUCCCUAAAUGUGGGAAACUCAACUGCAUAAUUUGUGGUACUGGGGAACUUUCCCCC